GCCCGGCGCCCAGGCUGGCGGGGGGCGUGUGCGCGCUAGCACGCCGAGGGCGGCGGUCCUGUGGGGCACUCCACGCGCAUUCGGAGGGAGCGUCUACAAAAGCAAGCAAGCACCCAAACUUAUUUCUGCUCUGGGAAUCCUUCUCUCUCGGAGGUUCCAAGCGUUUCUGCAGGAACCUGGGGAUGGUCAGUGCUGGUUGCAUGCUGGUUGGACAGUGCAAGCGAUGUUUCCUCCUCCCCUGGCGAUUUUUACUCUUCAUUUUGGUGUUUGGUCUAUGUGUGCGUGUGGUGGUGGGGAUGGGGGGGGGGGCUCAGUUGCUCCCUCCUUUCCUAAAGUAAGCUGUUGAGGAAAGCUCACUCUUCCUUAAAGGUAUUGGAACUGAUGUGGGUUUUUCUCGGGAGUAGGGGAUUAUUUAUUUGAAUGCGCCUGGAGUUUGCAAAGAACAGGAGGAAGCUACAGCUUUAAUUACUGUUGUAAAUAAUGUAUAAAUCACGCCUGUCACUCCGGAGGAAGCGGGCUCGCGCGAGGUGGGGACGGAGAGGAUUUCUCCAGCCCCGGCUUGGGCACCGGCCCAGCGCGCCCCCUCCUCUUGCACUCGGCUUCGGCAGUGGCUGGGGAGGGCUGGGUAGAGGCGAAUGGGGCCCCGGGAGCUGCUGCCUUCCUUUCGAUGUUAUAGUUGGAGGUAGGAAUAUGGCUGAUCAUGUGCUGGCUGUUUUACAGUAUUCCCCCCCCAACUUAGCCACACCCCCUGUCCAGGCGCUUUCCCAUUCACGGAAUUCGAGUACAGUAAAAGCCAUCAGGAUGACACACGCGAAAAACAUUUAAUUAAAGGCGAUUUCCAAAGAGUGACCACGCCGAACUGCCGUUUCAGCGGGAGGGGGGCAGCGAGGGCUAGGACGAAAGGGAAGGGGAUGAGGGCUGGGGGUCCGGACCUGCCGCUAAGCUCGGUGAUAUUAAUGAUGUCCUGUGUCAUUCAGUUCCAUCUUUCCAACACAGUGAAAGAGAAAAAAAGAAAGGCAGGAAGCAACAUGGGAAGUAGGAACGAAGCAGAAAAAAACCACAGAGAAUCUUUAAUUUGACAAGGCUUUCAGGGACUUCAGGGAGCCACGAGCGUCGUGACGUCACUGCUGUUAAAAACCCUUUUUCAGAAUCUCGUUAUGAUGUGUGCAUGCCGGCAGCUUACAUGUUUUACUUCGCUCUAGUUAUCUGCACACAGCUGUGGACCACAGAAUUGGUUUGGAACACCGGUGCUGGAGGUUGAAGGCUUUUAGGGCUGGCAGACCUGAGGGCAAAAUCGAAACCGAAAGAUGGGAUUAACAGUGCAAACCUCAGCUGGGUUGAGGUCGAACACCCUGGUAGCUCAGCUUAGAUUGAGUUAAAAUCCCUCAACAGGGCCCGUAGUUUAUGUGUAGCCCUGAGGACUUCUGGACCCACAUCAGGCUUUGACUUUGAAAGUGCGUGGCCUCUCUUGCCCCCUUUGGUUUUGGCCGAUUCACUUUCUAGUAGGUGCUCUUACCUAGCAAUUUAGCGCCCUUUCUAAAGAUUGAUUCUCAGAUCAACUUUCCACGCAUGGACCCGGCUUGCCACAGUGAACAAAUGAUGCCCCAUAGUUUGAAAGAGCUACUGGCUGGGAGAAAAUCCUUUGCCAGAGGGAUAACAUAAUUAUUUUUUUAAACUAAAGGACUUUAAUUUUCCGGUAAAUUGCUCAUAAAAACAUUUAUAAUAAUACCCUUUAAAAAUGUAAUAGAAUAAUUUUAGAAAAUGCAUUUGAUGAUAGUUAUGAUAACUUCUGUUGCUUCCCCCUUAUUUCUUAAAAAAGAAUUGAAUUAUUAAUUUAGAAUUCAAGUCCUGAGUGGCUCAAAACAUCUAUAGGAGACUCUUUUAAUGUGUCACCUGCUGGAAUUUUCCAGUACCUACUGGCAUUCUGAGGAGCCCUUGGCAUUAGAAAACUCCUCUGUUUCUGAAACUGAAGUACAGAGCCUGCGUUGAAGCCCCUAACGAUGAGACCCUUCAGCUUGUUUUCAAGGCAGCAGAGGUGGGGACUGUAGCACACACUCCCGGUUCCACUGUAGACUCAUAAAGACCCAGAGAAAUGUGAGAAUGUUCAUCGUAAUACUUCACCUCCGGAUGAAAAUGUUCCGAGGAUUUUUGGUAACAGCUGAAUCACUUUUGGAAGCAAACUGCCCUCCCUCCAGAGCUAAUCUUUGGAAUUUGAGUGAGACAAGCCCGUGAGUUCUUUUCCUUGGACCUGUUACUUCUGAGUGAAGACACGUGUUUUCCUCCAGCUUCUCCCGUGUUUGCUUUUAGGAGUUUGCGGUACGAUGUUGGAAGGACAGAUGGAGUUGAGGUUAUUAGGGGUUCGUGUGCUGUGGGCUCUUAAAGCAUAUGCCACGUGUUCUGAACUUAGUCUUCCUUUCCCCUUCAUCUUUCUGGGCAACUUGAUGAGUUGAGCUUCUUAGCUUAUACUUCUGUCGAAGCAAAAUGCAUAACUAUGUUUCCCAGGUGUCUGGGGAAAGAGCUGUAAUGUGAUUGCCAUGUGUGCAAAAACAAAUAAAAAAAAAUUAUAGGAAACACACCUCUCCUAUUAUGACAUAUCUGGCUGUUCACACUUAAUGUCUUUACAAGCCAAUACACAGGAACUUCGGGGUAGACAUCAUCUAUUCCCUCCCAGAUUCCUGGCCCAUUCAUCCCAGAUUAGUGAUACAUUGUGCAGGAACAAGGAGAGUAUUUUUUAAAGGCCUUCAGGUAUUGGAGAGAAUACUCCUGCAGAAUUUGGAAUACUUUUCUGAAUAUGAAGAUUAUCUUUUUUGCUCAGAAUUUAGGAAUAAAACUCUUUCUGUCUCUCCUUCUCUCUUCUGUCAUUUUUUAGUGUUUUUUUUUCUAAUUCAUAUAGGAAGUGUUGAUUUAGAAAUGAGCUGUUAAUUUUUUCACCCAUCUUUUUACACUGUAUGUUAAAAUAAAAUUGUAUCAUUUAAAAAUUAAUGCUUCAAAGAAGAAAAGCCUGAUGAUCAGUGUUCAAGCAUUGGUUAAUACCCAGUAAACCGUGAUUUUUGUCUAAGGGUGUGAGGACAUUGCUGAUGAAUUGGUUUUUGUAACUAACAGUAGUAGAUAAGCCCCCAAAAUUUUUGUCCUUUCCUUGUUGAAUAAGUUUUCUAAAUGUCCUAGUCCCCUUUCCUACUCUAGAAAGAACACUGAGGAAUGUAAUUGAUUCUUUCUCGGGGGUUUGAGAAUCUUACGGUGCUACAAGGUCACCGUUCUGAGUAUGAAUUCCAGUUGUACAUUAUAGAACUGUAAAUGGACACAGUGUCAGAGAUUGGACUAAAUCUAUCUUGAUCCCAGCCUGGGAAUUGUUUUCUUUCUUUCUUUUUUUUGUUAAAUCCUCAAUAUCAGUAUGUUUUGUUAUUUGCCUCCCUUGUUUUCUAAGUUGCAAGUAGCAAAACAGAAAUUCAAUUAGUUGAUUCUAGUUGAGAUUUUUACUUUAUAGGAAAAUUUCAUCCAGACCCUAGGCUCUUCUUAAUUCUUUCUCUGGAGUUAAAGAGGAUGUAAAGUCAUUCCUUUUCAUUUCAUUUUUUAAUUUUUUUGAGAUUAGUGAUACAUUGUGCAGGUGCACAGUGGAUCCUGUGCUCCAUUUAUUCCUCCAUUUGCCCCAUUCUUCUCUUACAGGGAUUUCUUUAGACAAUCACCUUGAUGCCUGUGCUCCAAAAGUAAAAGAAAAAUGUGAGGAUCUCCGCUCACUGCAACAUCCACCUCCCCGGUUCAAGCAAUUCUCUUGCCUCAGCCUCCCGGGUAGCUGGGACUACAGGCGCACACCACCAUACCCAACUAAUUUUUUUGUGUUUUAGUAGAGACAGGAUUUCAGCAUGUUGCCCAGUCUGGUUUCCGACUCCCGAGCUCAGGCAGUCCAUCCCCCUCGGCCUCCUAAAUAAAGUGCUGGGAUCACAGGCGUGAACCACCAUGCCUGGCGGUAAAGUCAUUCUUGAAUAUUCAGGAAGGAUAUUGUAUUUUCAAGUAAGUUAUUUGCUGUAUUAGGAUAACACAAUAUAAGUUUCCCCCCAUCUAAUGGUAGAUAGUCCUAACUGUUCCAUAGAUAUAUUGAAGGGAUAUCUUUAGCAUGAGCCUCUUAAAGCCUGAAAGUUAGGAAACUCUAAGGUUAGAAGGAACAAUUUCCAGAAUGUCAAUAAAGAACAUUUAGAUUGCCCCCCAGAAAAACCCCGUUUCCAAGCACAGGCUGUUUUCACUGGGCGAAUAUGGAAAGCAUCCCUGGAACCACACCGUCAGAAGCUGGCUUUCUCAGGGCUGUCCCGCUUGACGUAAUGAUACGUUCUGCAGCAAUAUCUUCGAUAUUGCAGUGGUGGACAUUCAGCUGGGGAGUCCUGGUGUGCUUUCGUGACAGCCCAAUUAUUAGUAUUUUUCUUUUACUUUUGGAGCACAGGCAUCAAGGUGAUUGUCUAAAGAAAUCCCUGUAAGAGAAGAAUGGGGCAAAUGGAGGAAUAAAUGGAGCACAGCUCAUAGGGAAGGCAGGGCAGCGUUUUGCUCUGGCUCUUACAUGCCAAUGCUGAAAGGAAUUAUAGGUAACAAUUCCCUUGUGUUGGUGCAAGAACAAUUUUUUUUUUCUAACAUAUUUUUAUGGCCUUCCCUGACAUGUCAUUAUUACAGACUGUCUUAUCAUAUUACAUAGUAUGGCACCUUAAUAAUGACAUGGCGCUGUGGUUUCCUGGUGAUUGUUUUGUCCACAGAGCUGGGGCCCCGGUGGUCCUCUGGGGAGCCCUGUGCAGCACCCACUGACAGCUGAGAGUCAGGUUUCACACACCCUUGGAGGUGGUGGAGGACUCCAGGCUGCCCCAGGUAGACUUUCUAUACCACAGAUGUUUUCUCUGAAACUCUGAGUCAGAGGGUGGAAAUAAGUAGGAAAUAUUAUGGUAUAGAGGAUUUACUGAUAAUCUCCAGCCUAGAAUCAUCUUAACAAGGUUAUUGUGUUUUACUUUUGAUGAAGAACUAUAUUUUUUUUUAGUUUUUUUUUUUUUUCCUUAAAGAGAUAGACUCAAGGGCUCCUCCUGCCUCAGCCUUCUCAGUAGUCGAGACCACAAAUGUGUACCACUGCACCUGGCUUGAUUAUGAACAUGUUAAAGUUUCCCAGAACUUUAAGAAGCUUCUGCCUCCAUGCACAGACCGUAAUAGAUAAGCUCUUCUAGGAUGCAAGGAAGGGUGCCACUUAGUACAGGAUCUUCAAGCCAGUGAAAGAAGCAGCACACUGUUAAAAAUACCCAGCUUACUUUGGGGGAGGGCUUGGCUGAAUGCUGAUGAAGUUUAUGGAAUAUGAAUGUAGUGAAGUUGCUGUACGUGAGUGGUAGGCGUGUGUGAAAAAAGUAAGAAAUAAAAUUGUGUAUAAAUGACACUCUGAAACUUGAUGGGUGUGCCUGUGAUAAGAAUGGUGAUGUCGGGGUCUGUGCUUAAUGGGGGAAAAUAAACGGGCUUAACAUCUGUAUGUCAGGCUAGCCAUGGGAGUAAAAAUUACAGAAUACAAAAUCAUCUGACAUUUUUUUUAUAAGCAAAGAUUGCUACCAAGGAUAACCAGGCAAAAAUAGAGGUGAAACAGAAUGAGGGGGAAAUGAGGGAACCAACGUUUGAUUCUACUAUGAAGUAUGGUAAUCACUGCUUUAAGUAUUCCAGACUAUUAACUAUUGUGCAGUUAGGUGGGGAAUUCGUUAUAGCGAAACAAAAGGCAUAAAUAUGAAUUUUAGGUUGUACGGCAGAAAUCCUCUUGAUCCCCAAAACAUAAAUGCAUGUACUGAGAAGCCAAGCUGCACAUGAUGUAAUUUUCUGGGUCUUAUCCUGAUUAACAGCCAACUGUAUGCUUCUUUCCUGAAGGUGACUUUACAGUCUCUAGACCCAGACAUUUCUCUCUGAAGUGGAGUGAAGGAAGGAGAACCACAAGCUAAAGUGUGUUUCACUGGGUGAAGUAUUGUGGGGGGAAGAUAAGAAGGGUGAAACAGGGGAACGGACUCGCGCCUGCAGAGAUUAAUGGUGCCUGUUUGGGGACUGAGGAGUGGGGGGCUGUGGAUGAAGGCAGGGAAUUUCUAGAGGGAAAAGAGACUUCUGUGCUAAAGAAAAUGACAUUAGCAUUGACUCUGAAAUGGCUGGGAAUGUGACUUUCUAAUUUUAAAUUAUCUUUAACAAGGGCAAUGAAAAGAGGAAAAGUUGACUCUUUGAGAAGUUAUGACGAACUUGUCGAGAAUGCCAAUUGACAGAGGCAGGUAAGGGAAUACUUGGAAAAACAGCAGGAACAGGUCUGAAGGGCAUGGUGAGCUGCCUUCCUAGGGUGUAAAGGGAAUUGGCAGGCAUAUUUAUUGGCUCUUCCAAUUAGUUUUAAAGAAACCUGAAGAAAUGGACAAAGACAGAGAAAAGGCAACCAGAUGUGAUUCUGCCUUUCGAGAAGCAAAGAGGCUCGUCUCAUCGCAUAUGAUCGAUGCCAGUCCUGGGAAGGAGUGGCUGUGUGGAAAUUAAUGAAUUUUCAACAUCCAAUCACAAAGGACACACAUACAUAUUUAGCAAGUCUAAAACCUCUUAAAUAAACUGCAUUGCUUUUCGUUUUCACUCUCCAGUUAUAAAACCAGUGGAUGAUGAAAAGGCCAUGUUGACAAUACAGCAUGUGCUCCCAGUAACGUUUGUGCGACAGGGAUAUUAGAUCUGAAAGGACAGGGCAACUGGGAAGGUGAACUGCCCGUAACUCUCAAUUGUCCAGAUAAUGAAGCAUUGGGAAAGCGAAGGCAAAUGAAAUAACCUGAUCAUCAAGAAAUGAUUCCUCUUUUAGUGCUCUUAUUAGUUGACUGAUGAUGACAAGUGCGAAAUGGCUGGAGUUGUAUUUUACCGUUUCUGAUGCUCAUCGUGCGCUUUGGAUGAGCACGUGUGUUCAGAAAGUGGGAAGUUUCAGUAGAGCAGGCCAUUAACCUGGAAGCUGUAAAAUUUGACAGUGUCAAGGAUGAUAGUCAAGGAUUGGUGAGUUCUCUAGCAUUCUUGAGGGCUCACAGGGAAUCAGAAGGGGAACUGAAGCUACACUGAAAGAGCUCUUGAACCCUCUGGAGAUGACAUUUUAGUCUUGAACUUGGGGGUGUGUGUUAAAUAUAUGACACUCACUCCUGAUGCUACCACUUGGUCAUAUUUUAUUAGACUAAAGUAUGUUAAAGCCAGAAAGGGCUUUAUAAAUCAGCCAGCCUAGCCUGCCCUGUUUUAACUGAUGCUGACAGACGUGAUGUGUUCGAGAGCACAUGCCUAGUAAGUAGCACGGCUGUGACUAGAACCCAGGUCUUGUCCUUUCUUACGUUUCUGUCACUUCUGUGCUGUGCCAGGAUCCUCCGAAGUCCCAGUAACGAGGUAUUAAGAUGUGUGCAAGUUGAUCGAGCGUUAGGCAGUAGAUACGUGCGAAAGUAAGCAUGGGUUAUUUUGGCUACGCAUUAUUAGUGAAACAUUGUCAGUAAUUGUUGUUUUUUUAAUCCCACUGGGCAUUUUUAUUAUUAAUUAAAAAUCCAUCAGCGAGCUUGUAGAAAUGUCAGUAAAGCCAUUCUAUAGUGAAAAUGGUGCCCAAGUCUCAUGCUCUGAUUUAAUAGAAAGUAAAACUACUUUGACAUUCUAUUCAUAGGUAUGGAGUUGAGCAUCUCAUACUUAGUGCUCUCUGGAGCUAGACACAGCCGGGGGCCCACAGCGAGGGCGUGUGUCUGCAGCAAGCUUGUUUUCUCAAAGCAGAGGAUUUAAGGCUGUGCCUUUUCUAGAGAUGCUCCGGAUCAGGUUUGUGAGUGGAAUACUCUGUAGCCAUUAAAAAUCAUAUUGCAGUAGAAAAGUGUUUCUUGUCAAGAAAAAUGUUCAUCAGCCAUUGCUAAGUGAAAAGCAACAGCUUUCAUGGCAGUGUGCAGGGUAUGCCAUCUUUUUCGUAAAAGGAAAUUACUGUGUGUCUGUGUGUGUGUGUGUGUGUGUCUGAGAUACGUUAGUAAAUUAACUUGGACUGAUGUAUAACAAAAUGAAAUGAUAAAUUGGUCACCUGUGGAUGGUGGGAUUAUCCGUGAGUUUCUUUUCCUUCACACUUUUUUGUAUUUUUUGAGGUUCUUACAUUAUGUGUAUGUUACUUCUGUAAUUAGAAAAAAUAAAUCAUUUUUCUUCUGCAAAAGAUUGUUUGUGUGUUGUGAAACGGAGGAUGCUUUGAAAGAACUGAUUCUGAACUUUGUAUGUUACACAGAACGUCUCGAGGUUUCAGGAUGGGCCAAGUUUACCGGACCAAAGAGAAAUACCACUUGACAGUCACAUUUAGCCAGUGAAACAAGAGUUAUUCAGCUUGAAUAUUAGAGGUCCCAAGCAUGGAACUGCUUGCCCCUCAGAGAGAUAUCUUUAAGGCAUUUAUACUGUAAUCCCCAAUGAGAAAAACAUUACGUUGUGAACUAGUACACACACACGCACACAAACUUUUCACGUAAAAUAUUUACCCUUCACUGUGAUGCGUGGUUAUUUUUGCUUUAUUAUCUAAAAUACAGAGUAUGAGCCCCCAAACUGGUUCCAUGUUCUGUUUAUGAGCUGCUCCUCAUGAUCUGAAAACCGGGUCCUGGGCAUGAAGUAGAAGCAGCCUUUCUGGGGACCAUGGCCUGGCAGUGGGGGAGGAAGGAAGUGUUUCCACAGUAACUGAUGUUAAGCUCCAGGUGUUACUCAUUAUGACUUCAGGGAGGCGGUGGGAGAGGGAAAAUAAUGUAAAUAUUAUUUAUAAUCAUAGGGUAUCUUUAUGCCACUUUUAGCACAGGCUCAUUAAUAUGCUAGUACAUUUAGGGGCACAUCUGCCUAGACUGGCGUAGAAUAUAAAUUCUGGGGUCCCUCUUUUGCUUGGAGCUGACAUCACUGUGUGAGAGCCCAACGGUGGCAUUCUUUCAUUCAACAUAGAUUGACUGAGUAUUUUCUAUGUUCUGGGGCCUGCGGCAGCAAACAAGAGAGGUGAGCUCCCUGCCUUUCUAGAUCUUAUAUUUGAGGGGUGGCGUUUCUUUAAGAAGCUCCCUGUCUGGGUCACCUCGAACCCGGCAUGUAUGGUGGUUCUCUUCUAAAUGUGUUUUGAACUCGGCCUUUUCAUCUCUCUACCUAGUAUGUACCUUCAUCUUUCCCCUCCUCCUCUGCCUCACCUAGUCUCCCCUGCCUCUCUCUUCACUCAUUAAAAUUCUAUCAUCAUUUUCGCUCCAGGUAAGAUCCACCUUCUCCCUCUUAAAGCUCCCAGGCCCCUCUCUGUUACAGCAGUCAGUCAUAUGGGCCUUGCUGAUUUAAUCAACGUGUAAUUUCUUUCUCUGCCAGGUUUGUUUUGCACCAUCUGAUAGUUAUUUCCUGGGCAUGAGCCUAGUCUCCUUAAGGAGAUCAGGACCAAAGUUUAUGCUUUUACUCCCUGCACCAUACCUUGCACAAAAUAGGUGCUCAUUAACUAUGCAGAUAUUCUCUUCCACUUUGCCCUGCAGAGGUGUUUGCUUUCUCAAUAGACCAGCUCAGCACUUCCCAGCUCAGCAAGCACAUCCCCUGCUGGCUUAUAUUUCCAAUGGGGCCUUCGGUUUGGACCCAGCUGCCCUCCUUUGUCCGACUUCUGCCUGUCUUGAAUCCACUGAUCCCCUCAAUUGCCCGCUUAGGCCUACUCCAGUCUUGAGCAACUCAGACCAAAGCUGGACAUGUUGUGUAUGUUGCUUUUACAAGCCUGCUGGGAGGAGUGAGACUGACCUGGGCCAAGACCCAGGUGUGCUCUAUGCUAGCCGUGUGACCUUAGGUAAGUUCAUUAAUCACUCAAUUUCCUCACCUGAACACUGGGAUGAUGGUGAAUCAGGUCAUGAUGAUGAUGCCGGCCUCCCAAGGUGAUUGGGAGGAUCAUACAUGAUAAUGUGUGCCAGGUAAGAGGCCAGGCACACGGUAUGUGUAGCUCUGAUGAUGUGGUGAUGAUGGAGCUAAUACAGGAGGGUGGGGUGCCCUUGUCCUCUCUCUGCUUCUUUUCCUCAUGUCUUCAGCUCCCUUUUCUUGUAACAUUGCUUCUUGGUUCUGAUGGACUGCGCUGUGAAAUCAAUAAGAGCCUCAAGUAUUUGGUGGAGGUCCUGAAGCCUUUGCUUUUAUGACCCGUUUGUAUUUUGGGAUUGGAUCUUUCCUUGAUCCCUCAGCUCAGCUACCAUGGGCUGGAUCGAACCAAGAGAGGACAAAUCACUUAAAUUCAGUCCCAUCAGCCACUUGUUGGGCUUUCCUGACGUUACCUCCCAUACCUGUGUGGCUUCUGGCUCCCCCCCGCCCCCCGCCCCCGGUCUCCCUGCUCCCACUAUUCUUGUAGCACCCUCUGGCCGCCCGCUUCAGGCACUGAGGCCAGGGCUGCUCCCUUAUUCCCACCUUGCCUUAUAGUGCUCUCAGAGACUUCAUCAGCAGCCCAUCAUUCCUUGCCCUCCCUUCCCUUUACUCACUUUGCUUUCUGCCAAAAAAAAAAAAAAAAAAAUCACAUUGGAGAAGCUUGUCUGCAAGGGUUCCAUUCAACUUGCUCUAUAUUAAUGCUCCACUAUGGUGACCCACUGCUGAGUCUUUCACUUGUAAUGUAAUCUAAUAAUUUACAUGCACUUUGCAAGCGGUCCUCUCAAAGACUCGCAACCUGUUUGAAAUUGCUCUGCUGUUACAGUAUUUGAGCUGAUGAGAGAGCAGCGUGAGAAAGAGUAGUUUCUGGUACCACAAUGGUAUUGGGUAAACCCAAGAAAAUAAUGUCAGCACAAGGUGAGGGUGUGCUGAUGGAUUAUAGUAUCCUUUCUCAGAGAAUCAAUUAAACUUGCUAAGGGUCUUUUAUCGAUUUUGGCUUAUAACUGGACUAGGAUAGGUCAAAGUAUUCAAGGAGUAGAGGCAUAGCAGGCUAAACACAGUGAACCAAGUGUGGAAUCCCGUCUUUCUGAGAUGCUGUGAAAUGUUGUAGUUUUGAUAUACUACAUGACUGUUACAGAAUUAAUUGGCACGGUGAUUAGGUUGUUUUAUUUCUUCACUCAAACAUGGUAGAAGCCGAUUCUAAUACGCGGUAGGAAUGAAAAUCGGGUAAUGCUGUAAUAACGGUGCCAGUGUAAAUCGAAUCGCAUCAUUAAGCAUCUAUUUUGUCUAAUUUGUAUUGUGAUAGUGUGAGUGAUACACACACAUUUGGACUUGGAGGCGCCGGUCUUUAAGAAAUAGACUCUAACUGCGGGGCACAGUGGCUCAAGCCUGUAAUCCCAGCACUUUGGGAGGCUGAGGCGGGUGGAUCACAAGGUCAGGAGAUCGAGACCAUCCUGGUCAACAUGGUGAAACCCCGUCUCUACUAAAAAUACAAAAAAUUAGCUGGGCAUGGUGGCACGUGCCUGUAAUCCCAGCUACUCGGGAGGCUGAGGCAGGAGAAUUGCCUGAACCCAGGAGGCGGAGGUUGCGGUGAGCCGGGAUAGCGCCAUUGCACUCCAGCCUGGGUAACGAGCGAAACUCCGUCUCAAAAAAAAAAAAAAAAAAAGAAAUAGACUCUAACUGAGAAGAGAAGCUCCAAUCCUAUAAUAUUGAGCAGUGAGUGAACUAAAAUAAUUAGUUCUGUGUAAUGUGAAUUUAUACAUACAUACACAUAUAUACAUUCAUGCACAUUUAUAAAUAUACACACAUAUAUGCACACAUACAUAUUGUGUCAGGCAGAUCUAGAAGAUAUAUGACUUCGGCAUAAAAAAAAUGCUUGGCUUAUGUUGCCUUCUCACAAGUUGACUAUCCUGAAUGGGGACAGGUAUUCUGACAGGUCAAGCCAAUGAUGGCAUCAGUGCCAGGCUUUGAAAACAAGGCUUUUUACAUUUGUUUCAGCCUCUUCGUCCUUAUUACCAUGCCUGAGAACCCCUAUUAAUGAUGUUUCUCAAGUUUUGGAAAGAAGGAUUAAGAGCCGAGGAAUGAUCAUUUUAUUUUGUCAUUUUUCUUCUAACGAAGGACAUUUGUCAAACAGUUUUCUUCCCAGAGCAGAAAUACGGAGGCACAUUUCUAUGGCUUAAGUUAACAGCUCAACCCUAAGAGCAGAAAUAGGACCUGAGAAGGCAGCAUCCAACAUGGCUGCUUCUAGUGGGACAUGUAGAUUAAAAGGUCCAAGAAGGUGUUACACUUUGAUGACAUUCCGGUGACAUUAUCCCUUCAUCCACAGGAGGACUGGUUUCAGGGGUACAUUAGCAGCAAUUGUCCAGGAGUGUUCAACCAUUCGGGUGGUAUAGACAGGGAGGUCGUGAAAACCUGCCUGGUCCAUCUUCUCCAGUCUGGAUUGCUGCCUCCGAGGCCCCUCUCCGCAUUCUGCCACCGUGGCAUCUAGAAGGGAUUAUACUGAUGGCCUCCCAUCUCUCAUCUGCCCACGCUUUAGGGUUUUGCUUCUGUGGCAUUGUCAGCACCUCCAUCUGGGAAUCUAGAACCUCAAAAAGACUUGUCCACAGAGAUGAGAUUGUAUGUAGUUUAGAAUACGUUUAACUUUCAUAUAUAUAAUGCUUGCUCUGAUGAUGAAAAUAUUGAAAGUGAAUUUGCUUCACAAGCCACUGUCCACUCCCUAUCUUUGAAAUCAACAAUGUAAGUUUUAAACUCCACAAGGAUUUAAGGAGACAGUAGACAGUAUCGAUGCCUCGCGUCUGAAUUAAGAAUAUGUUUAGUGGAGAAGUUUUAUUACAAACCUCCAUGAACAGGCAUCAGUAUCAUAUUCAGCCUAAUAAAACGUUCUAAUGAAAAUUGUCAUGGCGUGUGACAGCCUCCCUUUAUUAAUUGGUCUUUUCCGUUAUUAUUUUCUUGGUAGCAAACACACUCUGGUUUUCUCUCUCAUUAGUUACAGUCCUCAUUGGAUUCGCAUUUGCGGCUUCAGCUGUGUUUAUCUUCUCAUUAGUCUCAGCUCCUUGGGGGCAGGGUUAUAGAUUGUCUUCAGCGUUCUGUCCCAUAUCUCUCUGCCUUUUACUUGAGCAUUUCGGCGAAUGCCCUCAGGAUGCGGGUGACGUGCAGUUCAGAAUCAAUACGGGAAAGAUGAGCCAGCCGAGGGAGGACUGGGAUGAGACCAGAAAAUCUGCUAUUCCUCGAAAGUGUCAAAGGUUUAAAGGCAGGGUAAUAGAAUAUGUCGCCUCCUUGCAUGGAUCCGUCAAGUGUUUCCUGUGUACUGACUGUGUGUCAAGUCCCAUAUUAGUCAGUGGAGGGACAAGCUUGAAUUAAGGGUUGGGCAAGAAAGACAUUACUUGAAUAAGCUAUAGCUAUAGCAGGGAUAGUUAAGAAACCUACCACAUCCCAGCACUUUGGGAGGCUGAGGCGGGUGGAUCACGAGGUCAAGAGAUCGAGACCAUCCUGGUCAACAUGGUGAAACCCCAUCUCUACUACAAAUACAAAAAAUUAGCUGGGCAGGGUGGUACUUGCCUGUAAUCCCAGCUACUUGGGAGGCUGAGGCAGGAGAAUUGCCUGAACCCAGGAGGCGGAGGUUGCGGUGAGCCGAGAUCGCGCCAUUGCACUCCAGCCUGGGUAACGAGAGUGAAACUCUGUCUCAAAAAAAGAAAAAGAAAAUGUCCCAUGAGGAGUUACGAAAAGCUCACUGAGGUGUGGUUGGCUCUGCCUGGGUUUUAGAAAAACGGGGAGAUUCUUUUGGCCAAAAGUAACAGGGCAUUCCAGGCUGAGACACGCAAGGGGAGAGUUCGCGGCACAUUCAGGUAACAUAAGUGAGAUGCAGCUUGGCCUGAGAGUAUGUUGGUGAGGAGUAGGACAUGAGGUUGGAAAACGUAGGCAGAGGCCAGCCUAAGCAUUUUGGACCUUAGCUUAUAGCAAUAUUUUGAGCAAGUGAAAAAUAACUGAUUUCUUUUUGAUAAGGUACUUAAAUAUACUUCCAUGGGGUUAGGGAGGGAAAAUGCAUGGUAUAAACAAGAAACCAAGUUAGGAGAUCGCUGUGCUGGUUCUAGGACUGAUAUGAAGGGCCAAGACUGGGCUGGACUGGGCUGAGGGUUGGGAGUGGAAGGAGAGGAAGAGCACGAUGGUGAGAAUGACGGGGGUCACGUGCAGAGUGGGGCGCGAUUAUUGCCUGGGACGGUAUAGAGGGGUAGAGUGUGAAGAGGAGAGAAGGCGUGGGUUCAGUUUGGGAUGGGGUAAGUUGGAAGUUCCAGGGACAUAUUUGAUGGGCAGCUGGGGAUGCGGGUCUAGCAGGGAGCUUGUGGCCACAUGUUACAUGUGGUAUUAGGCAGGAAAACAAAAAAACAACAAGAACCUGGCACUUAGGAGGGCCAGGCUGGAGACCCGGAGCCCUAGCUCUGAGCAGCACUCUUGACAGAGAAUUGGAAGGUGAAUUUUUACAUCCACGAGGUCACGUUCAUGGCUUUUGAAAUGAUAUCAGCAGAAAAUAAAUCUAAGGCCCACGUGGGUGUGGUUGGGAAAUUGAAGGGGUUGGAUUGGUAAAAAGACAAAGACAAAGAUAAAUGUCUCACAAAAGUGGAUUGGGACCUGGAGACCCUACAUCUACUUAAAGGCAUUAAGAAAGUAAGAAUGGGUCGGGAGCAGUGGCUCACGCUUGUAAUCCCAGCACUUUGGGUGGCCGAGGCAGGCAGAUCAUGAGGUCAGGAGUUCAAUACCAGCCUGGCCAACAUGGUGAAACCCUGUCUCUACUAAAAAUACAAAAAUUAGCGGGGCAUAUUAGUGCGAGCCUGUAAUUCCAGCUACUUAGGAGACUGAGGCAGGAGAAUCACUUGAACCCGGUAGGCAGAGGUUGCAGUGAGCCCAGAUUGUGCCAUUGCACUCCUGCCCGGGUAACAGAGUGAGACUCCAUCUCAAAAAAUAAGUAAGUAAAUAAGUAAAUAAAUAAAAAUAAAGUAAGGGUAUUUGUAAGCCCAGAGUCGGGUUUCAGACCUUUGCCAUCUCAGAUUGCAUUUCAGUUUGCUCUGCUCUGCUGUGCUCUCCCACAUACCCAGCUGAUGAUUGAAGAGUCGUGGCCUUUUUUUAAAAAAAGAAAAAAAAAAAAGCUUUCUACACAGACAACAUUGAUUUGUCCUGUCGGUAAAGGCCAUCUGCCCCACACUUGGCGGAACCUCAAGGGUGGGAGAAAUGGACUGAAUCGUAGCCGUGGAGAGGUCUCCUUAUUGCCCUGAGAGGAAGACUUCGUGGGAGAGAAAGUUCAAAGAGGGUCUUGAGAAAGGGAGUGAGAUCUUCAAAGGCUGGGUCUUGCCAUGGGAAACUAAGUGUAAGAAUUUUUCAUUUUUUUUUUUUUAAGUUGACCAGAAAGAGAAAACGAAACACACAAGUGUUUGCUGGUGGGGCAGGUGAUGGCCUUGGUUAUGAUUGGAGUGGAAUUGCCAUGGCUGCAUGUUUAUGGCACUUAACAGUUUUCUAGGGACUUUCACAUACGCAGCAGCCCCUGGAAGUCCUAAAGGAGGCUGCUAAUGUUGCAAGCCACGGAGGGACUAGAAAAAUGUGUGAUUACAAAACAAUUCAGAUCCAGGUAGGCUGACCUUAUCAUUAACGCCAGGAGUGUGGCAGGAGGGGGCUCUGCCUGUUGGAAAGGCAUCUCCCUGCCCCCAGAGGCAGUCAUGGAGCUCCCCGUUGUUUUUGGUGAGCACUGACUAAAUAUUUUCCCUGUCGAUAUUUCACUAAUGUGUCAUAUGAAUUAUUUGUGUUAUCUCUGUGCUGUGAAAUUAGAGGCCUUCACCCACAGUGUGGUAAGUAGAUUAAAAUGAAAGCCUGUUUUUUAUGGUGUGGGUGAAACUAGGAAACUAUCAGGGAAAUAUUUUGUGUGUGUUUGAUCUGACAGUGGGAAGGCCUUGGGAUGCCAGUGUCUUCUAAAACCUGAAAGCUGAGCUCCGGCUGGAGUUUUCUUCAAAGGGGUUUAUAUUUUAUCUGUUGGCGCUUCUGAGCGGAAGGAAGGUUUGGAGUGGGAGAUUCUGUGAUGAUCCUUUUCUUGCUGUUGUUUUCUUCUCUGUCUUUUUAACUUUGCAGAAAGCCCUUCCAGUCAUACACUCAGACCCUGUUCAGGACGUUGGUGGCCAAACAGGCCCCUUUUGUUAAGCGAGAGUCCCAUUUUUGUUUCUCCUGAAAGGUGCCCUUCAGGACAGCAGAGCCUUUCUUUGGGCUGUUUAUAAUUGAGCCCUGAAGAACCUAAACAGAAAUCGUUCUAAACACAGGCCAAGUGCCUCCUUGGCCUAGCUAGGCAAAGCUAAACUCACACAAGAUGAAAUCUAACCAGCUGGUCACCUGAGAACCACCUUCGGGAGUUCUCCGGCUUGACUGCUUUCGCCUUGGCCGCCAUCCCGAGCCCCAGCGACAGCUGAGGGUCAGGGCCUCUCUGUGCAGAAGUGUAGGAAGAAAAUCAUAGCUCCUGGCGAAGGAGGUUAGGUUGCAUGAUUGGAAAGGGUCCUAUGUCAGCUUGUAACAUGCCAUGGAUCUGGAAGAAUCCUGAAUGGGUGGGAGAAGACAUCACCAUAAGUCUCGUUGUCUUUGACUAGUGCAAUUUAGCCAAGAAUCGUUCCUCUUUGCAGCUCAGGGUUUCGAAAAAUUCCCUUUUAAAAAUGCAUGUUUAUCUAUUUUUUUUUCUUCUUUUAAAUAAAAAGGUGUUCAUAGCUUUAGCGCACCCUGACAGACUUCUCUCGUUUCUGUUUCUGCCUUUUUCUUUACACAAAUUAGGAGUCAUUUGAGAAAAUGAAGGCACUUAUAGGAUUUGAUAAUUGAGAGGUUUUGCAGUUUAGCAUUAUUUUAUUUUACUCUGUUACAAUAGGUAUGUGGGUAACCCUCGCGAAUUGAGAUGCAGUCUUUGUUCUCUAUUCUCAGAUCAUCUAGUUUAGGUCUUAGACUCGCCGUAUUGCCUGCAAGGACAACCUUCAGUUGUGGAAUUUUUCUUUCCAUUUUAGGUAUCGGCUGGGUCAUUUCAAUGGAGUAGGAAACAGUACUGGGCAUUGUCAGAGAAAGAAAGACUGGCUAGAAAAGUUCUGAUCCCCAGGGGCAGUUUCGAGUCUUUUUAAGUGUAAGAUCAUCCAUAUACUUAAAACCUGAGCUUCUGCACAUGCUGGUCAGCGAGGCUCUUCCCUUCCUUACUGCACAUUUUAAUUUCUGUGUUUCUAGAGGAGACACCUGCCUCUUGGGGGAAUGCUGAGCAUCCCGGAGCAUCUGUCCCACUGGGCCUUGUAGACACAGAGACCUGAGAAGUAAACCCACUUCAACACAGGCAUCACUUUAAGGCCGAAGUACAUUUGAGAAAGUUAGGGACUGGUUCUAUGGCGGGGAAGUUGAGCUAAAUAUGCAGUUCUAUUUUAAUUUUCACUUUAUGCCAAGGCAAAAGCAUUGGGAGAUAGACUAUAAAUGUAUAAGUAAGUCAGUGCAAGAAUAGCCCCUUGCAAAAUGCAGAUUUAGGGAGGCUAAAUAUUUUCUCACAUACUUUAAUGCACAUGAAUAACUAACCCCUAAUUGAGUUCCCGAGAAAGGGAUGUUGUGUAACCCCUUGACCUUGAUCACUGUAAAGAAUUACACAGAGGUCUACACGACUGUCAAGGAAGCAUUUGGCUGUCUUAGUUAGCUCGGGCAGCUAUAACAAAACACCGUAGACCGGGUGGCUUAAACAGCAGUCAUUCAUUUUCUCACCUUUCCAGAGGCCCCACCUUCUAAUACCGUCAUUUUGAGGGUUAGUGCUUUGCUGUGGAAAUUUUAGGGGAACACAAGCGUUCAUUUCAUAACAUGGGUUGAUGCUUAAAGCAUACUAAUAAUUUUCAGGGUGGCUGAUUUGGCUCUAAAAAGUUAGACUUUUUUAGCUUGCUCAUUUGUUUGUUUAAACAGAGUCGUAUUUUCUUUUGUGUGUUUUGUCUUAGGCAUGGUCGCCUCUCUUCCUGCUGUUUGAAAUCACAGUAGUAAAACCCAAGGUAAUUAAGGCUAUGGUAUCAUUGUUUUAAAUUAGUGUGUGUGAUUUUUUUUUUUUUGUGGUAAUUCAACAACAUAUUCCUUCAUAUUCUGCAUAAUUGGAUCACAUCUUCAUUUUGUGGCAAAUAAAGAUCUAUUUUACGUUUCUAGUAGAAACACAAGCCCCUGUGGCAAAGUCUGAAUUGGGGUGUUUGCCAUUAGAAGUACUGAAGCAGUGAGCCUUCUAGAGUCGAUCCGGCUUCUGAAACACUCAUCUGUCUGUAGGGUCAGGAAAGAACCUUCAAUCUAAAGCUCAUAAACAGCCAUGCCUUUCACCUAAAAACAAAUAUUGAGAAGACAAGAAAAUGAAAAAUGUAAGUACUAAUGCAAGAAGAGAAUAACCAAACCGUGGAUUAUCCAGUGUGAUGUAUACCACAGAAACAUUCUGAUCAUUGAUUCAGGCACAGCUGUUUGCGAAUAUGUUUUAUUAUCUGUAUGGUUAAUGCCCUGGGUGUUUCUGUGAAGCAAAUUAAUGAUGGCAAAUUGUGAAGAAUACACUGGACAAGUUACCAGGAGGCCUCAGCCCUGAUCCCAGCCCACCAUUAAUUAUGUAAGUGGCUUUGGGCAAACGGCUUUUACUCUGAGACCUCACCUGCUUCUUAGCACAGAGAUGCUACAGCUUCCUGCUAGCUCUGAUAUUCUAUAACCCUGUGACUAAGAUCCAGCUUUUUAAAGGAACCAGCGAAGAACAUACUUUUAAAAAAUUCAUUCCAACUUUCUAAAAAAUUGUUACUGAAGUAUAAUUUACUUACCAUUAAAUUUACCCACCUUAAGUAUACAAUUCAGUAAUUUUUAGCAAAUUUUUAGUGACACAACCACCACCACAGUCUAGUUGAACAUUUCCAUCAGCCCAAAAGAGCCGCAUGCCCAUUUGCUGUUGCUCCUCCUUCCUGUUUCGAGUGUAGCAGAAGCAGCCGUCAGUCUGUUUUCUCUAUAUACAGAUUUGCCUCUUCUGGACAUUCCAUUUAAGUGGAAUCAUAUGCUUUCUAUUCUUUCGUGUCUGGCUUCUUUCAUUUAGCAUCGUGUUUUGGGGGUUUCUGUCAUAAGAUGGAUCAGUACCUUGGUCCUUUAUAUCGCUGAACAAUCUUCCAUUGUGUGGCCGUAUCACCUUUUGUUUAUUUGUCAGUUGAUAGGCUCUUUCUCUUCCUUUCCUACCCCCGUAGCACUUGCCCUUGCCGUAGCCUGCGCCAUACUGGGAAAAAACAGGUCUGUCUUAGAGAAAUGCCAGGUCUUUAUUUCAGGCCUUCCCUUACAGAAGAGGCUGGAGGGUUGGGUUGUAAACUGCUUAAACCCUUCCAAGGCAGUGGACUGAGCUGGCUGGGUCAUUGAAAAUGCGACUGAGUAGCUUUAUGGUAACUAUCAGUAAAUGUGAGAGCACUACCUGGAGGUACUUUUUCUUCCUAUGUAAUUAAUAUGAAUGUGAGGUUUCUGCAUGAGAGAACUUGACUCAAAAGCUUUCCUAAUGAUAGCCUGUUUGCUGUGUUGCAUUUGUUCUACACAUUGGAUGAUGAAGAACUUAGAAGCAAGAGUUCGGGUCCCUGGCCGUUCAUCUGACUUGGUAAUGUCACUUCCGGGAUUUUUCUCUGGAAGUCAUCAGAGUCUUCUUGAACAAGAACAAACUCAUGGAGGGAAAUAGCCUCAUGAUUUGCUCUGCGGCUCGGAAUCACAAAGACUGCCAAAUACAAUCGUGACGGAAAGGUAGAUGUGAUGAGAAGAGGAUUGAGCUAAGUCUUCAGGCUGUUGAUUUCUUUAAAGAGAGACUGUAGAGAGGACAGCACUCGUGUGUUACUGUGUGCUAUUCUUUUCAUGUGAGUGGAGCCACGAUGUGCAUUUUCAUUUGCUAAGUUUCUAGCUCAUGGAGGCUAGCAGCUCGGUAUUCUGGAUGCUCCUCAAACGAUUCUCGCAUUUAAAGCCUAGCUCUGGAAAUAUGGUUAAUCUGUGGUAUGUUUCGCGCUUCAGCUGUCCUCAGGUCCAUCUAAUUUAAUCCAUCCUUGGCUAGUGCGUCCUGUAAGAUGAAGGAGAAAGUCUAUUCCAUUUGCCUUUCUCAUCUUCAUACGUGGGGUAGACAUGUUUUCUAGCCUUUCUCCCUUACAAAUUUCAGAAAGGUUGGGUCCAGCAAGUAGUAUGUUUGUGUGUGCAUGUGUGUGUAUAUAUGCAUAUGUAUACACACGUAUAUACACACAUACAUAUUCUUCUAACUGCAUAAUGGGAUGAGGCCUAUGAAAGCCAGCAGCUUGCCUCGAUUUUAUUUAGCAUGCUAAUUAUAAGCGGUAUCGGUGAUAUCUUUUGGAAUUUAGACAUUAGACUGUUCCCACUGGUGGAAGUGAUGUUUACAGCACACCCUGCCUCUUGGGUCCUGCGAAAGCUUUGCCUUUGUCGAAUCCAUAUGGUAGGAUUAUUGUAGAGAAAGAUAAGCCAGACCAUUCUUGAGUAAACAUCAGACCCUCCCGUGUGCCUUAGAUCUGGUAGCUGUGGGCAGAGAGGGCUGCCGAGGGCCACGUGCUGCCAGGCUGGAAGAUGAGCAGACUGCAUCCAGGUGUGAUCAUAUUCUUAUCCUUUUCUCCCACAGCUUUAAAGUGGCAAAAAUUUCUUCCCUUCAUCAGGAAGGAACUAGAGAACACGUGCCGUACCUUUUGUUUGGCGGCGGGGGCGAAGGGAGGGAUGGUCAGCAUCCUCUCUUAUUUGGGCCUGUAUGAUAGUAUUAUCAUAGCUGAUCAUUGCUAGGAUGAUUUAUGUAGGAGUCUCCGACUGAGUUUGAGAUCCUUGAGGACAGGGAUGUCGUGGAGUUGUCCGUGUGUUUUCCAGGGUUUUUAAUACAGUGCUUUGCAUACAACAGGUCCUCAGCUAGUGUUUUGUAAGUAGCUGACGAAUAAAUACUUUCCAUUCAACAAACAGUGUCUGUGAAUAUACUAGUAUUCUCAAGAAUGCCUGACGUCUGCUGGGUGCCCAUGAUGCAGAAGUAAGAGUUUCUCCCUUCCUCUCUCCCUCCGUCUCUUCCGUCUGCAGCAAUCAGUUCCUGUACUCAGCAGACACGGCACUAGGUGCUGAGGUCACAGAGAUCCUCAGUGAGUUAGUAAGAAUGUCAUCCUGGAGUGCGGGAUGUGAUUUGAUCACGGUUCAUCAAAGGAGCUGUCACUUACGGAUUGCUUACUCUGCUCUAGGUACUGAACACAUUGGGUUUAGCCCUCAAAAUUCUCACUGCGUCUUUAGGAGACAAGAACUAUGAUCCCCAUGUUGCAGAGGAGAAGAGUGAGGCCUAGAAGAGUUGCUCAGCGUGAGUCCAGAAGGUUGCUCUUCCUGGCUUGUGCAUCCUACCACACCACCGACCCAAGCUCCCCUUCCCCGUCCCCUAACUGCAUUAAACGUGUAUCCGAAACAGCC
Long non-coding RNA from Callithrix jacchus (white-tufted-ear marmoset), 21267 nucleotides. RefSeq lists it as uncharacterized. NCBI's taxonomy places the organism in Eukaryota, Metazoa, Chordata, Mammalia, Primates, Cebidae. The record is from RefSeq and is a predicted model, not a curated record.